RNAcentral lists this ribosomal RNA (497 nucleotides) under uncultured bacterium. RNAcentral's name for it is "partial 16S ribosomal RNA". It matches the Rfam family "Bacterial small subunit ribosomal RNA", at positions 28 to 507 of the family's 1533-position model. The record is from RNAcentral.
GACGAACGCUGGCGGCGUGCCUAAUACAUGCAAGUCGAACGCUGAAGAGCGGAGCUUGCUCUUCUUGGAGGAGUCGCGAACGUGUGAGUAACGCGUGGGUAACCUGCCUUGUAGUGGGGGAUAACUAUUGGAAACGAUAGCUAAUACCGCAUAACAAUGGAUGACACGUGUCAUUUAUUUGAAUGUGGCAAUUGCUCCACUACAAGAUGGACCUGCGUUGUGUUAGCUAGUAGGUGAGGUAAUGGCUCACCUAGGCGGCGAUACGUAGCCUGCCUGAGCGGGAGGUCGGCCAAACUGGGAACGGGACAAGGCCCAGGACCCUACGGGGAGGAGCAAGAGGGGAACUUCGGACACGGGGGGAAAGCUGACCGCACAACGCCGCGUGGGUGGAGAAGGUUUUCGGGUCGGAAAGCUCUGUUGUAAGGGAAGAAAGGGUGUGAGGGUGGAAAGUUGAGACUGUGACGGUAGCUGACCAAAAAGCAACGGCUAACUACGUG